Molecule: microRNA precursor, 207 nt
Filed under: Oryza punctata
Lineage: Eukaryota; Viridiplantae; Streptophyta; Magnoliopsida; Poales; Poaceae
Description: MIR812 microRNA precursor family
Rfam family: MIR812 microRNA precursor family
Source: Rfam by way of RNAcentral
AAAAAUUGUAGUUUUACACAGUUCAUAUUUAACGUUUGAUCGUUCGUCUUAUUUGAAAAUUUUUAUGAUUAAUAUUUUUAUUGUUAUUAGAUGAUAAAACAUAGAAAUUAUUUUAUGUGUGACUAAUUUUUUAAAAAAUUUUCAUAUAUUUUUUAAAUAAGAUAAAUGGUUAAACGUUGAACAUAGUAACCUAUGACUCCACUUAAA